AAAUAAGUAAGCUAAAUAAAAGCUUUUAGGCCCAUACCCUAAAAAUAGAUUAAUCAUCUCUUAUUUA
This 67-nucleotide transfer RNA is filed under the name Stenamma muralla. Its description in RNAcentral is "tRNA-Met". Lineage: Eukaryota; Metazoa; Arthropoda; Insecta; Hymenoptera; Formicidae. The record is from RNAcentral.